RNAcentral lists this ribosomal RNA (497 nucleotides) under uncultured bacterium. RNAcentral's name for it is "partial 16S ribosomal RNA". It matches the Rfam family "Bacterial small subunit ribosomal RNA", at positions 28 to 507 of the family's 1533-position model. The record is from RNAcentral.
GAUGAACGCUGGCGGCGUGCCUAAUACAUGCAAGUCGAGCGAACGGAUGAGAAGCUUGCUUCUCUGAUGUUAGCGGCGGACGGGUGAGUAACACGUGGAUAACCUACCUAUAAGACUGGGAUAACUUCGGGAAACCGGAGCUAAUACCGGAUAAUAUUUUGAACCGCAUGGUUCAAAAGUGAAAGACGGUCUUGCUGUCACUUAUAGAUGGAUCCGCGCUGCAUUAGCUAGUUGGUAAGGUAACGGCUUACCAAGGCAACGAUGCAUAGCCUACCUGAGAGGGUGAUCGGCCACACUGGAACUGAGACACGGUCCAGACUCCUACGGGAGGCAGCAGUAGGGAAUCUUCCGCAAUGGGCGAAAGCCUGACGGAGCAACGCCGCGUGAGUGAUGAAGGUCUUCGGAUCGUAAAACUCUGUUAUUAGGGAAGAACAUAUGUGUAAGUAACUGUGCACAUCUUGACGGUACCUAAUCAGAAAGCCACGGCUAACUACGUG